GUAGUAGCCCAGUGGUAGUGUGUGCGCGUGUGUAGCGAGAGGUUGUGGGUUCGAACCCCACACUCUCCC
This 69-nucleotide transfer RNA is filed under the name Hordeum vulgare. RNAcentral's name for it is "tRNA-OTHER". Lineage: Eukaryota; Viridiplantae; Streptophyta; Magnoliopsida; Poales; Poaceae. The record is from RNAcentral.